GCGAAAACUUUACAAUGCUGGCAACAGCGAUAAGGGAAACUCGAGUGCCAGGUUACAAAUCUGGCUGUCGUGAUGCCUAAAAAGCAUUGCAUAGCAAGGGCCGGGCAAGACCGGUGCCAGCCGCCGCGGUAACACCGGCGGCUCGAGUGGUAACCGUUAUUAUUGGGUCUAAAGGGUCUGUAGCCGGCCGGAUAAGUCUCUUGGGAAAUCUGGCAGCUUAACUGUCAGGCUUUCAGGAGAUACUGUCUGGCUCGAGGCCGGGAGAGGUAAGAGGUACUUCAGGGGUAGGGGUGAAAUCUUGUAAUCCGUGAAGGACCACCAGUGGCGAAGGCGUCUUACCAGAACGGACCUGACGGCAAGGGACGAAAGCUAGGGGCACGAACC
This 384-nucleotide ribosomal RNA is filed under the name uncultured prokaryote. RNAcentral describes it as "bacterial SSU rRNA". It matches the Rfam family "Archaeal small subunit ribosomal RNA", at positions 341 to 725 of the family's 1478-position model. The record is from RNAcentral.